This 388-nucleotide ribosomal RNA is filed under the name uncultured bacterium. RNAcentral describes it as "bacterial SSU rRNA". It matches the Rfam family "Bacterial small subunit ribosomal RNA", at positions 28 to 417 of the family's 1533-position model. The record is from RNAcentral.
GACGAACGCUGGCGGCGUGCUUAACACAUGCAAGUCGAGCGGUAAGGCCCUUUCGGGGGUACACGAGCGGCGAACGGGUGAGUAACACGUGGGUGACCUGCCCUCAGCUCUGGGAUAAGCCUGGGAAACCGGGUCUAAUACUGGAUAUGACUCCAUGACGCAUGUUGUGGGGUGGAAAGCCUUGUGCGGCUGAGGAUGGGCCCGCGGCCUAUCAGCUUGUUGGUGGGGUGANGGCCUACCAAGGCGACGACGGGUAGCCGGCCUGAGAGGGCGACCGGCCACACUGGGACUGAGACACGGCCCAGACUCCUACGGGAGGCAGCAGUGGGGAAUAUUGGACAAUGGGCGCAAGCCUGAUCCAGCCAUGCCGCGUGGGUGAUGAAGGCCU